Long non-coding RNA from Pelodiscus sinensis (Chinese soft-shelled turtle), 2444 nucleotides. RefSeq lists it as uncharacterized. The record is from RefSeq and is a predicted model, not a curated record. NCBI's taxonomy places the organism in Eukaryota, Metazoa, Chordata, Testudines, Trionychidae.
CUCUGCGGGGCGCCGGGGAGGGGCGAGGACCCAGCCGUGGCGCUGGCGCCGGGGGAGCGGAGGCAGGGACAAGGACGCUGCCGGGAGCGGGAGUCGGUGCAGCGCUGGCCCGUGGGGACUCCCAGGCAUCUGACAUCAGCCGUUAUUGGACGACAGGAUACUGGACUAGACGGACCAUUGGUGUGACCAUUCUUAUGCUCUUAACCACACACGGUCCUUCAAACAAAAACAGACAGACAAACACAAGCUCAGCACACAGCAGCAUCUGACAUCAGCUGUUAUUGGACAACAGGAUACCGGACUAGAUGGACCAAUCGUGUGACCAGGCUUAUGCUCUUAACCACGUACUGUUGUAAGAAGACAACACUUGCCUUUUUGUGUGUUGGCUCUCUCUAGCCUCCAGUGGGGCUCUAUGGAUGAGAUGUUACUAACAUAGUGCACCUACAUCAUUCAGAGUGGAGAUUUCCAUAGUGGGAUUCUAGAACAAAAAACAGACCCCGUAAGUUUUAAGUUAAUAAUCUAUAGACUUUUCUGUUAUUCAGCAGCUAUCAGCUAACAUUUUGCUAAUGUAGGAUUUCUUUUUAAACCAUUUGUAGGUCACCUUUACAACUCAUGAAUGUGUGUUGUCUGGUAUGUUUUCUAUCCAGUCUUUUUAACAUUGUGUGCAAGUUGACUUCUGCUCACCAUACCAAAAAAGAGGAUUCCUGUCAUACGUUGCUGAUUCCAUCCUCUUCUUUUUGCAUAAAGGCAAGAGCAAAAAGCCUGUUUCACAGAUCAUUUCAUUAUCCCCAUCUCCAAAUCUCUAUUGUGAGCUAAUCAAGUUCUGUCUCCUGUGAAAUAUAAUUGAAAAAAAAUCAAAUAUAUAUUUUUAAAUUAUAUUUUUAAAAGUUUAUCUAUGUAUCCUUUAAACUUGCAGCAUUCUUCUUUUAUGGGUUGCUCAAGCCAUCUCAUCAGAUUGCUUAUAUCUUUAAAAGCCUACUUUUUACAUCCUGGCUUAAGCACAUUGGCCUCUAUAACCCUUCCCCACCAUUUAGGCUUAACUGGGAAGAAUUUAACGUGUUUUCUUUGUAAUUGUUUCUCAAAUAUUUCCCUCUUCUCUGCAGCAGAUUUCACAAACUAUCUAGUAUUCUAAACAAAAUUCCUUAUGGUGUUACCACAUUUAAUCAAAGUCAGCCUUCCUGGAGUUAGACAGAGAGUAGGUAAUUUUAGUAUUAACGUUUGUCAUUAUACAGUCUAAGAUAGCAGUAAUCAAAUCUCUCACUUCAGGGCAUCAGCUAAUGGCUUUUGGGAUCUGUAAGGAUUUUUCCUUCCCUUAUUUACCAGUGAUUGUGCAAUUGGCCAUAUGUAUUUAAGACUUUAAUUUUAAAGUUUUGAUUACUGUAGUUGAGCAUUUAGCUCUCAUUUAAUUGUAUAAAUAAAUGACUUGAUUUUCAGGAAUACUUGGCACCCACUGAAUACAAGUAUUGAACACCUCUGUAAAUCAGGCCACGUUUUAGGUGUUUAACAAAUAGGGAGUUAUGCACCUACCUACACUGGAAAAUUUUGGCCUCCUUUUUUUCUUUUCUAUCAUCCCCUAAAGCAUUAGAGAUAUUAUCUACUACUAGAAGUACAGAGUCAUCUAACUUGAUGGACCACUUAUUCAUACCUGUAUGACAAAUCCCAUAUGUGCUUUCUCCAAUAAAUUAUGCCAUUUGAUUAGUUUGAUUAAGACCCAUGGUUUUUUAAACUCUACAUUGUCUGUCAUUCACCUUACUUAUACUUGGUUUAUUUCCUAGCAUUCCAGAAAAGUCAGUGUUGUAACCUUUUACAUUUGAAGAGAAAAUUAUCAAUUCACAAUUAAUGACAUUUAUUGUUGCAUUAUAUCAAGCUGUACUGAUCCACAAAGACGUGUGGGACUACUUAAUUUUGUGAAGUUCUGUCAGACGGAACUGUCCUGAGAUAACCAGGAUGGUUGACAACCUAAAUCUUUUGGACAUCAUAGAUAUACAUGCAAAGAUAGUUUUGUAAAGAUAGAUGUUACUGUGUCCUCACUGUUAGCAGCUGAAUAAUAAUAUUCUCCAAGGAUCAGAAGUUCUAGUCUGAAAUAAUAAUGAUGAUGAACAAGAAUUUUAAAAAUGGACAAGAUGCUACACAUCUCCAAGUUUAUAGGAAAAAAGGCUUGAUAUAAUAUUCUAGUUUGAAAAAUCAUAUAUGACUAUGUUAUUAAAGAUCUUGGCCCCAAUUUACCACUGAGUCCAAACUAUGCUUGAAUACUGUGCAGAGAAGAGACCAUAAGGAGCCAGCUGACGGUUCCCUAAUUCAGACCCAAUUGUAGCCGUUACCUUUAGUUAAUGUUUGUGUAUUAAAUUCCCCAUCAUUUCCCAGCUCUGGACGUAUUUUAGAAAGUAGGUAUCUAGAAAGUAGGUAACUCCAGUUCAGCAUGUGCAUGUUACAGCUACUAUGCC